This 384-nucleotide ribosomal RNA is filed under the name uncultured bacterium. RNAcentral describes it as "bacterial SSU rRNA". It matches the Rfam family "Bacterial small subunit ribosomal RNA", at positions 30 to 416 of the family's 1533-position model. The record is from RNAcentral.
AUUGAACGCUGGCGGCAUGCCUUACACAUGCAAGUCGAACGGUAGAGUAGCAAUACUUGAGAGUGGCGAACGGGUGAGUAAUAUAUCGGAACGUGCCCAGUCGUGGGGGAUAACGUAGAGAAAUUUACGCUAAUACCGCAUACGAUCUAAGGAUGAAAGCGGGGGAUUCGCAAGAACCUCGCGCGAUUGGAGUGGCUGAUAUCAGAUUAGGUUGUUGGUGAGGUAAAAGCUCACCAAGCCGACGAUCUGUAGCUGGUCUGAGAGGACGACCAGCCACACUGGGACUGAGACACGGCCCAGACUCCUACGGGAGGCAGCAGUGGGGGAAUUUUUGGACAAUGGGCGCAAGCCUGAUCCAGCAAUGCCGCGUGCAGGAUGAAGGCC